Molecule: ribosomal RNA, 313 nt
Filed under: uncultured Glomus
Lineage: Eukaryota; Fungi; Glomeromycota; Glomeromycetes; Glomerales; Glomeraceae
Description: SSU rRNA
Rfam family: Eukaryotic small subunit ribosomal RNA
Source: RNAcentral
AGCAGCCGCGGUAAUUCCAGCUCCAAUAGCGUAUAUUAAAGUUGUUGCAGUUAAAAAGCUCGUAGUUGAAUUUCGGGGUCAGCAGGUUGGUCGUGCCACUGGUAUGAACUGGUCUCGCUGAUUCCUCCUUUCUGAAGAACUGUAAUGUCAUUAAUUUGGUGUUGCAGGGAAACAGGACUGUUACUUUGAAAAAAUUAGAGUGUUUAAAGCAGGCAAUUGCUUGAAUACAUUAGCAUGGAAUAAUGAAAUAGGACGUUCAAACCUAUUUUGUUGGUUUCUAGGAUUGACGUAAUGAUUAAUAGGGAUAGUUGGG